UGUAGCAUUCUUGUCAUGGAUGCCUGGGUUCCAGUCUAUGCAGACGAGGAUCCUAUUUAAUGAAGCAUUCAGCAGGGGGCUUCGAAUAUUCCAGAUUGUUACAGGAAAGAAGUCUAAAGUCGAGGUCUGAUAUGAGCUUUGCAGCUUGCUUGAAGUGUAGAAAAAAUUUUACGGGGUGGAUAGAUUUCUUCUGCGAUCUUUGGAGAAUUUUUCUUGCUUGCAAGAGGAGAUAGCAGGUGGCUCUAUGGAUUUAAUCUGGAGUUGAAGAUGACAUUCUCUUUUGUUUUCCAUCGCCUGCUUUGGUUUCCUUUGUAUGUUGUUGUAAUUUGUUAAAUUCGCGGGUCUUCCCAUUCAUAUGCAUUUCAGGAACUCUGGUUUCUCGCGCUUUCGACUUCUCCACGUAUUUAAAGGUACAGCUUUUCCAGUAGCCUCUACACUAAUUAUAUAGCUUAGCAGCACGAUAGUUUGUGAUUAUUUAUUAUUCUUUUGUCAGAAUGUAGCAAUUUUGUUUAUCCACGCUUCUCUUUCUCAUUUUUAACCACUUGAGCUUUUGCUUUGAGAAAGGUGGUGGUAUGAGAAUUUGUCUUCUGAUAUAUAUAUAUAGGGAUGUGCAGGCAGCACCCACCUAGUUUGAAA
Non-coding RNA from Carica papaya (papaya), 636 nucleotides. NCBI's taxonomy places the organism in Eukaryota, Viridiplantae, Streptophyta, Magnoliopsida, Brassicales, Caricaceae. The record is from RefSeq and is a predicted model, not a curated record.